AUUUCUGAAUCGACGAUCGGCUCCGUUAGACUUGAUCUUGGGUAUUUGAAGUUUCUAGAAAAUAAUUUUUGCGAUUUUUCGAUAUCAUUUACCUAGCAAUCAAAAGGAUUCAAAAUCAAUAAUUUUUAACGGCUGAAAAUAAAAAUUCUAUAAAAAGUGGUGAUAUAGCACUAAAAUUUCCGAUCAGAAAUAUUGAUCUUGUUGUAGAUAGUAUGAAGAAUUUUGUAUUAAAAUUUCAUCUGAUUUGAAUACUUCUAUACCGUUAAACUUGAAAACGGCAGAUAUCAACCAUUAAAAAUUAUUGAUUUUGAACGCUUCCGAUCACUAGGUAAAUGAUAUAAAAAUAUCGCAAAAAUUAUUUUCUAGAAACUUCAAAUACACUAGAUCAAGUCUAACGGAGCCGAUCGUCGAUUUGAAAAUUCCAUCAUCGAAAACGGCUCAGGAGCACGGA
Molecule: long non-coding RNA, 451 nt
Filed under: Ananas comosus (pineapple)
Lineage: Eukaryota; Viridiplantae; Streptophyta; Magnoliopsida; Poales; Bromeliaceae
Description: long non-coding RNA (ACOM_LNC031445)
Source: RNAcentral